CUGUUCCAGGUGUGACGAAUGCAGGCUUUGCUACCAUUUUGGCUGUCUAGACCCUCCCUUGAAGAAGUCUCCUAAACAGACUGGCUAUGGAUGGAUUUGUCAGGAAUGUGACUCUACGUCCUCCAAAGAUUCCGAGCCGUCAAAUGAGGUGGUCUCAGAGGCCCCAGGUAACGUGGUACCCUCUACCUCCAGAAGUAGCUCUGAAGAGCUUGUAUCGGUGGCACAGAAACGUCCAGAAGAGGGAACCUUGAGAGGGGAGCACCAGUACGUUGAAUUUCCAAAUUCAGAACCCACCAUGAAACAACCCAUCUAAGUUUCGCAUGGGAAGACGAAAAUGAAGCUGAGGCAGAAAACCCAUCUCAGGAGCUGAAUUUGGAACAGAAAAAAUCGAAAAAAUAGGAGAUUGCUGUCUUGUUUGAAAUAUUUGCAAGUUGUGUAACAGUGAUUAUAGUUUCUCAUUGUAAAAUUAACAAAAAAAGUUCUCAAUAAAGUCAUUGAAAAUUAAAUUUGUGCCGCACUGGGGAAUUAAUUAAGUAGCUCCUGGUGAUAUUCUUGAUUGCAUUAAAAGCUGAAUUAUCAGAACUUGAGCACCGUACCAAUAAAAUUCUAAAAGCUUUUUGAACACGGUAUAGAAAGCUGAUGGGUUAUUCAUCACUAAUAGCAUUUACUAAGCAAACAGGUCUUUUUUUUUAAUCUGCAAAGUAAUGUUAUCCUUAAAGGAUAGUUAUAACUGACCUAUUUUGCUACUUCUGAGCAAGAGCUUUGAUUCUUAAAAGUUAGAUAAAUAUGUUCUAGUAAACGAGUUCUGAAAUUUCUUCUGAUCAGUGAUUAAAAUAAAUUCUGCUGAGGACUGGGUUGGAGGCACGGGUGUUUUGGUAUGUACAGGAUGUUUUCAUAAGUAAUUAGUUUUAUAUGUUUGUAAUUGGUUUCAUGUCGCAUUAUCAUUUUCUUCCGUGUAAACCUUUCCCAUCUUCACGUGAUCAUGAAUUGUCUUGAUUAGGCCAUCCUGUCCAUGUCCAGUUCCUUCAUACCAAUCUUUCCAUUCUAACAGAUUUAAAUAACUUCUUGCUGUGUCAUUACACCUUUAAGUGAGUAGUGAAAAUCUAAAAUAAAAACCCCUUCUUCCUGUA
Molecule: long non-coding RNA, 1130 nt
Organism: Calidris pugnax (ruff)
Lineage: Eukaryota; Metazoa; Chordata; Aves; Charadriiformes; Scolopacidae
Exons: 4
Source: RefSeq, a predicted model, not a curated record